RNAcentral lists this unclassified non-coding RNA (214 nucleotides) under Hevea brasiliensis (rubber tree). The record is from RNAcentral. Lineage: Eukaryota; Viridiplantae; Streptophyta; Magnoliopsida; Malpighiales; Euphorbiaceae.
CGACUACCAAACAGUGAAGCCCCCUAUUUCUGUAAGAUUGGAACCAUGGCUGUAUUGAAAAUAUCUUACCAACUAUAGUUUUCAGCUAUGUACAUAUUUACAAGGGCAUUAUGAGUAGAACUCAUAACUUGAUAGGUUAUAUAUCAUAUCUCGACCAAGAGGAUCUCUUUCUGACAUCUCCUCAAUUGACAACAAAAGGAGGAACAGGUUCAAG